This 90-nucleotide transfer RNA is filed under the name Dyadobacter sp. CY326. RNAcentral describes it as "tRNA-Ser". It matches the Rfam family "tRNA". Rfam says of the family: Transfer RNA (tRNA) molecules are approximately 80 nucleotides in length. Lineage: Bacteria; Pseudomonadati; Bacteroidota; Cytophagia; Cytophagales; Spirosomataceae. The record is from RNAcentral.
AGAGAGGUGUCCGAGUGGUUGAAGGAGCUACCCUGGAAAGGUAGUAUGUGGGUAACUGCAUCGAGAGUUCGAAUCUCUUCCUCUCUGCCA